UCAAACUUGGUCAUUUAGAGGAAGUAAAAGUCGUAACAAGGUCUCCGUAGGUGAACCUGCGGAGGGAUCAUUACAGAGUUCAUGCCCUGAAUCAGGGCAGAUCUCCCACCCUUGUGUAUCUUCUUACUGUGUUGCUUUGGCAGGCCGUCUGGGCCGUCGCCCUGUGCGAAGCCUGGCCACCGGCUCCUCCGAGGAGCUGGCGCGUGCCUGCCAAAGGCCCCCAAACUCUUUGUUUGUCAGUGUCGUCUGAGUACCAUUGCAAAUCGUUAAAACUUUCAACAACGGAUCUCUUGGUUCUGGCAUCGAUGAAGAACGCAGC
Molecule: unclassified non-coding RNA, 319 nt
Filed under: uncultured fungus
Lineage: Eukaryota; Fungi
Description: partial contains small subunit ribosomal RNA, internal transcribed spacer 1, and 5.8S ribosomal RNA
Rfam family: Eukaryotic small subunit ribosomal RNA (bases 1-73)
Source: RNAcentral